GCAAGACGAACGAAGAGGCCCCUUCGGGGGUACUUCAGUGGCGGACGGGUGAGUAACACGUAGGCGACCUGCCCCGAAGCAGGGGAUAACGGCCCGAAAGGGCCGCUAAUACCCAAAAGGGUCACGAGUCAUAUCGUGAUCAGAGUUACGGCGUUUCGGGAGGGGCCUGCGGCCCAUCAGCUAGUUGGUAGGGUAACGGCCUACCAAGUCGACGACGGGUAGGGGGCCUGAGAGGGUGAUCCCCCACAUUGGCACUGACACACGGGCCAAAUUCCUACGGGAGGCAGCAGUGAGGAAUAUUGCACAAUGAGCGAAAGCUAGAUGCAGCAACGCCGCGUGGACGACGAAGGCCUUCGGGUCGUAAAGUCUUUUUCAGGGGGACGAGUGAGGACGGUACCUCUGGAAUAAGUCACGGCUAACUACGUGCCAGCAGCCGCGGUAAAACGUAGGUGGCGAGCGUUAUCCGGAUUCACUGGGCGUAAAGCGCCUGCAGGCGGUCUCGUAAGUGGGAUGUGAAAUCUCUUGGCUCAACUGGGAGGGGCCAUUCCAUACUGCGGGACUGGAGGGCAGAAGAGGGAAGCGGAAUUCCCGGUGUAGUGGUGAAAUGCGUAGAUAUCGGGAGGAACACCAGUGGCGAAGGCGGCUUCCUGGCCUGCUCCAGACGCUAAGAGGCGAAAGCUAGGGGAGCGAACGGGAUUAGAAACCCCGGUAGUCCUAGCCGUAAACGAUGGAUACUGGGUGUCGGCGGUCCUAACCCCGUCGGUGCCGAAGCAAACGCGUUAAGUAUCCCGCCUGGGGACUACGGCCGCAAGGUUAAAACUCAAAGGAAUUGACGGGACCCCGCACAAGCAGCAGCGUGUGGUUUAAUUCGAUCUACACGAAGAACCUUACCCAGGUUUGACAUGCAAGUAGUAGUGAAGCGAAAGCGGAACGACCCGCAAGGGAGCUUGCACAGGUGCUGCAUUGCUGUCGUCAGCUCGUGCCGUGAGGUGUUGGGUUAAGUCCCCUAACGAGCGCAACCCUCGUCGUCAGUUACAUGUGUCUGGCGAGACUGCCGGUCUAAAGCCGGAGGAAGGUGGGGAUGAUGUCAAGUCAGCAUGGCCUUUAUAUCUGGGGCUACACACACGCUACAAUGGCCAGUACAAUGGGUCGCCAACCCGCGAGGGGGAGCCAAUCCUAAAAAGCUGGUCUCAGUUCGGAUUGCAGGCUGCAACCCGCCUGCAUGAAGUCGGAGUUGCUAGUAAACGCAGGUCAGCCAUACUGCGUUGAAUACGUUCCCGGGGUUUGUACACACCGCCCGUCACGUCAUGGGAGCUGGUAACACCUGAAGCCGGUGCGCUAACCGCAAGGGGGCAGCCGUCGAGGGUGGGACUGGUGACUGGGACGAAGUCGUAACAAGGUA
This 1402-nucleotide ribosomal RNA is filed under the name metagenome. RNAcentral describes it as "bacterial SSU rRNA". It matches the Rfam family "Bacterial small subunit ribosomal RNA". The record is from RNAcentral.